AUUGAACGCUGGCGGCAGGCUUAACACAUGCAAGUCGAGCGGGGGAAGGUAGCUUGCUACCGGACCUAGCGGCGGACGGGUGAGUAAUGCUUAGGAAUCUGCCUAUUAGUGGGGGACAACAUCUCGAAAGGGAUGCUAAUACCGCAUACGUCCUACGGGAGAAAGCAGGGGAUCUUCGGACCUUGCGCUAAUAGAUGAGCCUAGGUCGGAUUAGCUAGUUGGUGGGGUAAAGGCCUACCAAGGCGACGAUCUGUAGCGGGUCCGAGAGGAUGAUCCGCCACACUUGAACUGAGACACGGCACAGACUCCUACGGGGGGCAGCAGUGGUGAAUAUUGGACGAUGGGGGGAACCCUGAUCCAGCCAUGCCGCGUGUGUGAAGAAGGCCUUAUGGUUGUAAAGCACUUUAAGCGAGGAGGAGGCUACUCUAGUUAAUACCUAGGGAUAGUGGACGUUACUCGCAGAAUAAGCACCGGCUAACUCUGUGCCAGCCGCCGCCGUAA
This 501-nucleotide ribosomal RNA is filed under the name uncultured bacterium. RNAcentral's name for it is "partial 16S ribosomal RNA". It matches the Rfam family "Bacterial small subunit ribosomal RNA", at positions 30 to 523 of the family's 1533-position model. The record is from RNAcentral.